AACACUUGGUUCUUGUCCCUGAAAAACUUCCAGUCUGUUAGAAGAUAUAGAAAUACAAGGAUGAAUUACUAGUAUGUCCCAGUAAUUGAAAAUACUAAGGCAAGCUUAGUGGAAUAGUGAAGAAGAAAUGAUAAAUCGUGUCUCAGGAAGUAGAGCUCCAGGAAAGGUAUAAAAAGGUUACAUUUGAUAGGCUGGGUUUUAAAGGCGUUCAGCUUCCUUGUCUGUAAUACAAGAAAGAACUGUUGUCAAGUGAGAAAAUCCAUGUGAAAAUGCUUUGUGAAGUUUGUAAAUACUAGCUUUGAAGAUCACACAUUCAAAGUAAACAAGUAUGGAGAUACUUGGGAUGAGUGAAAAAUUACAUCAUUGGACAUGAAGGAGUUUCAACAUCCAGCUUCAUCUAGGUGGUCAUGAUUACCUGCAUGCUUUGAGCUCAGCAGCAGUCUUCAUA
Molecule: small RNA, 448 nt
Filed under: Pan troglodytes (chimpanzee)
Lineage: Eukaryota; Metazoa; Chordata; Mammalia; Primates; Hominidae
Description: processed transcript
Source: RNAcentral